This 107-nucleotide transfer RNA is filed under the name Cadophora sp. DSE1049. It matches the Rfam family "tRNA". Rfam says of the family: Transfer RNA (tRNA) molecules are approximately 80 nucleotides in length. The record is from Rfam by way of RNAcentral. Lineage: Eukaryota; Fungi; Ascomycota; Leotiomycetes; Helotiales; Ploettnerulaceae.
GCUUCGCUGGAGUAGUGGUUAACUCGUCUGCUUCCCAAAUUGGCCUUGUUCUACACGAGGUUUGAUUCCACAAGCAGGAUACAAGGGUUCGAACCCCUUGCGUAGCA